UUGCCAGCCUUCCAGCGUGCUUGGGUUUAGGGCGACUCAGGGCAUUCCUGCAGAGCUUGCUAGAAUGUUCUGAAAUGGUUGAGGCUUUGCUCUAUCCCUUACUCAGAACAUGGUCAUAAACAUUUCAGACAGUU
Cynocephalus volans (Philippine flying lemur) is the source of this 134-nucleotide small nucleolar RNA. RefSeq annotates it as small nucleolar RNA SNORA9. NCBI's taxonomy places the organism in Eukaryota, Metazoa, Chordata, Mammalia, Dermoptera, Cynocephalidae. The record is from RefSeq and is a predicted model, not a curated record. The transcript has a single exon.